UCUCUGCUAAAGGUUUACUGAAGUAUAGAGGGUGAAUUCUGCCCAAUGGUUGUAUAGUGAAACUGAGUACUAACGUAUAAAGCGAAACCCAACUGAAUGGCCGCGGUAACUCUGACCGUGAUAAUGUAGCACAAUAAAUAGCCAAUUAAUUGUUGGCGGGUAUGAAUGGAACCACGAGGGUCUUACUGUCUCAAGAGGAAAGCCGAUGAAAUUAUAAUUGUAGUGAAGAUACUACAUAAACAUUGUAAGACGAAAAGACCCUAUCGAGCUUUACUGGAUACCGAUAGCGUUAAUUUAGAAUGAUCGAUACUAAGUAUCCUAAUUCUAAGUUAAUAAUUUUUGUUGGUAGGACAGUUUAGUUGGGGCGACUACCUUUGAAUAAGAAACGAAGGCGAGCUUAUGGUAUUAUUAAAAUCUCAUUAGCCUCACAGUGAGGGGGACACCCCUAGCUGGCACAAGGACUUCCCCGCAUAGUAUAUAGUAUAUACGUAAGGGGGUUCCUAUGUGGGCGAUAGUGACCCGAUAUGAUUAUCCAAAAUAAAUAUCGAAAGCGGAUAAAAGCUACCGUAGGGAUAACAGCGUAAUAUUGUCGGAGAGUUCUUAUCGAGGACAGUGUUUGCGACCUCGAUGUUGAAUUGCGGUGCCCUGGUGCUGUAGAAGGUACCUUAGGUUGGUCUGUUC
RNAcentral lists this ribosomal RNA (681 nucleotides) under Thouarella grasshoffi. RNAcentral describes it as "partial 16S ribosomal RNA". It matches the Rfam family "Bacterial large subunit ribosomal RNA", at positions 1820 to 2582 of the family's 2925-position model. Lineage: Eukaryota; Metazoa; Cnidaria; Anthozoa; Scleralcyonacea; Primnoidae. The record is from RNAcentral.